Molecule: small nucleolar RNA, 132 nt
Organism: Meriones unguiculatus (Mongolian gerbil)
Lineage: Eukaryota; Metazoa; Chordata; Mammalia; Rodentia; Muridae
Source: Ensembl
UCUGCUCCCAGAGGCGUUGCAGGUGUGACUGAUGUAUCACAUGCGCUUCAGUAAGUGACAGAGAGGAGAGAGGCUAUGUCUACACCCAGUGCUCUGACCUGUGACUACCUGAAUGAUUAGCAGCCUGACAUU